GGAGGAAGAAGGAAGGAACGAGAGAGAGGUUUCCAGAAGUUCCCCAGUCAUUGAGCAUUUCUGAGGCUCUUGAUGCAUAUGCCAAGUAGUUAUGGAGAAAGACACAGCAGCUUACCUCUGCAGGCAUCAUUGUGUGAAAGGAAGACCCAGGCUCUCUCACCACCCUUGAACAGAAGCCUUUUGCUAAGGUGAUAGCUACAUGUCCAAGCCUAUUGCGUGGCAUGCAUUUUGCCUUCUGCAGCCCACUAAAGGAGUUUGCAGUUCACCCGCAAACCUCAGCGAUCCAAGCUCCCCUGGAUGACCAUCACUCACCAAGAAAAGAGCAAUAACAGGACCUGUUUUGCUAAUCCAGGACUGUUCUCCAGCACUAACUCUAAAUAAUCCCUUCUGCUAGAGUCCACUUUCUGGAACCUGUUGCCUCCGUUUUCAACGUUUCCCAAACUUGGUCCGUUGUGUGAGCUGGCUGAUAAAAGUUCCAGGUAACCUUCCUUGUUCUCAAGGUCCAUUUUCCAGGAAAAUCUGAGUCAUGGUGCUGGGGAGGACACUUAAGUACAUCAGUCAAUCAGAUGAUUAUUAAAUUUAGGAAAUAGUAGAUCAACUGGAUUAACUGGAUUAAAAUGCAGAAUCCCAGGCCCCAGCCCAGACCUACUGAACCAGCAUCUGCUCUUUAACAAGAGCCCCAUGUGAUGUGUGGGACAGAAAACUUUGUGAAGCACAGGGCUAGACAGUCUCUAAAGUCUUCUGCAGAUCAGAAACGCAGCAAUUCUGAGGUUUUCUUCAAUUUUCUAAU
RNAcentral lists this long non-coding RNA (790 nucleotides) under Homo sapiens (human). RNAcentral describes it as "long intergenic non-protein coding RNA 3156". The record is from RNAcentral. Lineage: Eukaryota; Metazoa; Chordata; Mammalia; Primates; Hominidae.